AUUGACCCUUAUCGGCGUAAAGCGUGAUUAAAGUUCCACCCCAAUUAGAGUCAAACUAAGACUAAGCUGUGACACGCUUGUACUUAAGAAGCCCAUAGACGAAAGUUACUCCAACUCAAUCAACUUGAAUCCACGACAGCUGAAACACAAACUGGGAUUAGAUACCCCACUAUGCUCAGCCGUAAACUUUAAAUUACACCCACUAUCGCCAGGGAACUACGAGCAAAGCUUAAAACCCAAAGGACUUGACGGUACCCCAUAUCCACCUAGAGGAGCCUGUCCUAUAAUCGAUACCCCCCGCUAAACCUCACCACUUCUCGCCCAUUCAGCCUGUAUACCUCCGUCGUCAGCUUACCACGUGAGCGCAACUUAGUGAGCUUAAUGCCCAUACGCCAACACGUCAGGUCAAGGUGCAGCAAAUGAAGUGGGAAGAGAUGGGCUACACUCUCUAAAAUAGAAAAUACGGAAGACUACCUAUGAAAUCUAGUCUAAAGGCGGAUUUAGAAGUAAAAGAAAAAAGAAUGUUUUUUUACCCGGCACUG
Molecule: ribosomal RNA, 542 nt
Filed under: Nymphargus lasgralarias (Las Gralarias glassfrog)
Lineage: Eukaryota; Metazoa; Chordata; Amphibia; Anura; Centrolenidae
Description: partial 12S ribosomal RNA
Rfam family: Bacterial small subunit ribosomal RNA
Source: RNAcentral